UAGCGCAUACAUGAAGAUGGUAUCUUUGGUGUGGCUGGAGGAGAUAAUUAAAUUGCUGUGAAGUGGAUCAGACACCUGCUGGACACUUAUGGUGCACCUCAAGUGACCAUAAAGAAGAACAGGUAUGGAGAAAUCAGUAGACUGGACAUAAUUUUGUUUGGUGUACCUACUUUGAGAAAUUAGAUUACAUACUGCAUAGUAAUCUGCAACACACUUCACUUGCUCGUAGUCAUCUGCAUUGGCCAACAGGUG
Molecule: long non-coding RNA, 252 nt
Organism: Cygnus atratus (black swan)
Lineage: Eukaryota; Metazoa; Chordata; Aves; Anseriformes; Anatidae
Exons: 3
Source: RefSeq, a predicted model, not a curated record